CUUGGUCAUUUAGAGGAAGUAAAAGUCGUAACAAGGUUUCCGUAGGUGAACCUGCGGAAGGAUCAUUAAAGAAUGCCCCGUUUUUUGAAAUGGGUUCUAUUCCCAAACCGUGUAUACAUACCUUUGUUGCUUUGGCAGGCCGCCUUCGGGCGUCGGCUCACGCUGACCGCGCCUGCCAGAGGACCCAAACUCGUUUGUUUAGUGAUGUCUGAGUACUAUAUAAUAGUUAAAACUUUCAACAACGGAUCUCUUGGUUCUGGCAUCGAUGAAGAACGCAGCGAAAUGCGAUAAGUAAUGUGAAUUGCAGAAUUCAGUGAAUCAUCGAAUCUUUGAACGCACAUUGCGCCCCUUGGUAUUCCGAGGGGCAUGCCUGUUCGAGCGUCAUUAUGACCACUCAAGCUUAGCUUGGUAUUGGGGUUCGCGGUCUCGCGGCCCUUAAAAUCAGUGGCGGUGCCAUCUGGCUCUAAGCGUAGUAAUUUAUCUCGCUAUUGGGUCCGGUGGUUGCUUGCCAAUAACCCCCAACUUCUAAGGUUGACCUCGGAUCAGGUAGGGAUACCCGCUGAACUUAAGCAUAUCAAUAAGCGGAGGA
RNAcentral lists this ribosomal RNA (589 nucleotides) under uncultured Rhizoscyphus. Its description in RNAcentral is "eukaryotic LSU rRNA". The stretch from base 231 to 384 matches the Rfam family "5.8S ribosomal RNA". The record is from RNAcentral. Lineage: Eukaryota; Fungi; Ascomycota; Leotiomycetes; Helotiales; Helotiaceae.